This 253-nucleotide ribosomal RNA is filed under the name uncultured bacterium. Its description in RNAcentral is "partial 16S ribosomal RNA". It matches the Rfam family "Bacterial small subunit ribosomal RNA", at positions 524 to 776 of the family's 1533-position model. The record is from RNAcentral.
UACAGAGGGUGCGAGCGUUGUCCGGAAUCACUGGGCGUAAAGGGUGCGUAGGCGGCUUUGUAGGUCAGUGGUGAAAUAUCGCAGCUUAACUGUGAGGGUGCCAUUGAUACUGCAGAGCUUGAGUACAGAUGAGGUAGGCGGAAUUGACGGUGUAGCGGUGAAAUGCUUAGAUAUCGUCAAGAACACCUAUAGCGAAGGCAGCUUACUAGGCUGUAACUGACGCUGAGGCACGAAAGUGUGGGGAUCAAACAGG